UACGUAGGGUCCGAGCGUUGUCCGGAGUUACUGGGCGUAAAGGGCGCGCAGGCGGCGGUGCUGGCCCGGCGUGAAAGCCCCCGGCUCAACUGGGGAGGGUCACGCGAUACUGAUCGACUCGAAGGCAGGAGAGGGUAGUGGAAUUCCCGGUGUAGUGGUGAAAUGCGUAGAUAUCGGGAGGAACACCAGUGGCGAAGGCGACUACCUGGCCUGUUCUUGACGCUGAGGCGCGAAAGCUAGGGGAGCAAACGGG
Molecule: ribosomal RNA, 253 nt
Filed under: uncultured bacterium
Lineage: Bacteria
Description: partial 16S ribosomal RNA
Rfam family: Bacterial small subunit ribosomal RNA
Source: RNAcentral